Molecule: ribosomal RNA, 465 nt
Filed under: uncultured bacterium
Lineage: Bacteria
Description: bacterial SSU rRNA
Rfam family: Bacterial small subunit ribosomal RNA
Source: RNAcentral
AUUGAACGCUGGCGGCAUGCCUUACACAUGCAAGUCGAACGGCAGCACGGGAGCAAUCCUGGUGGCGAGUGGCGAACGGGUGAGUAAUAUAUCGGAACGUGCCCAGUCGUGGGGGAUAACGUAGCGAAAGUUACGCUAAUACCGCAUACGAUCUAUGGAUGAAAGCGGGGGAUCGCAAGACCUCGCGCGAUUGGAGCGGCCGAUAUCAGAUUAGGUAGUUGGUGGGGUAAAGGCUCACCAAGCCGACGAUCUGUAGCUGGUCUGAGAGGACGACCAGCCACACUGGGACUGAGACACGGCCCAGACUCCUACGGGAGGCAGCAGUGGGGAAUUUUGGACAAUGGGCGCAAGCCUGAUCCAGCAAUGCCGCGUGCAGGAAGAAGGCCUUCGGUUGGUAAACUAGCUUUUGUUACGGAACGAAACGGACGGAGGCUCUAAUACAGUUGUCUAAUGACGGUACCGUAA